GAUGAACGCUGACCGAAUGCUUAACACAUGCAAGUCCACUUGAACUUCGGUUUGGGUGGCGGACGGGUGAGUAACGCGUAAAAAACUUGCCUCACAGCUAGGGACAACAUUUGGAAACGAAUGCUAAUACCUGAUAUUAUGAUUUUAGGGCAUCCUAGAAUUAUGAAAGCUAUAUGCGCUGUGAGAGAGCUUUGCGUCCCAUUAGCUAGUUGGAGAGGUAACGGCUCACCAAGGCGAUGAUGGGUAGCCGGCCUGAGAGGGUGAACGGCCACAAGGGGACUGAGACACGGCCCUUACUCCUACGGGAGGCAGCAGUGGGGAAUAUUGGACAAUGGACCAAGAGUCUGAUCCAGCAAUUCUGUGUGCACGAUGAAGUUUUUCGGAAUGUAAAGUGCUUUCAGUUGGGAAGAAAAAAAUGACGGUACCAACAGAAGAAGUGACGGCUAAAUACGUG
Molecule: ribosomal RNA, 454 nt
Filed under: uncultured bacterium
Lineage: Bacteria
Description: partial 16S ribosomal RNA
Rfam family: Bacterial small subunit ribosomal RNA
Source: RNAcentral